AGCAUGCGCAGAUUCACUUGCCGCACUGGCUAGACCACGUGUUGGACUUCUUCAGUUUUUCUUUGAGCUUCUUCUCGUUCUUUUGUUCCUUGACUUCCUAUAGAUGAUGACUCUGACUUAUAACUCCUCAGAAAUUGUCUCUCUCUGGGCUGACCAUAUGGAUAAAGUUGAAGUUAGGCUUUAUGAACCUACAUCAAUGUCUUAUUGUCAAGAAUGGGGCAAGCUUAGUGAUGCUUUAUCUAACGGGAAAGGAGCUAAUUAUAGCACGAUUCAAGUCGCUGAAGACGUUGAUUUGACUCUAACGACUAAUACAGAGACACUGGAACAAGAUGACACCCCACUAAAGAAGCUGAGGCCUCAACACAAAACGGCCUCAUGUUGUUAUAGUAAAGGAACCACUGGAGCAGAAACGGUAAGUGUCCUUACAAGGAUACUCUUGGUGUUACGACUGAGGAGUCCCUAACGAGCUUGGAGUCUUGAGUGAAUCUUUCUUAUUAACAACAACUACAUUUCUUAUCUUUCUUACGAGGGAUUUGUAAUGAGCUUGGAGUCUUGAGUGAAUAUUUUAAAAUUACCAGCUAUAUGGUAUUCAUCUAUGAAUGGAAUUUUGAGUAGAAAAGCUACGUGUAAAAACUUACCAGACUACAAUUGACGGACUUCAAGACAAUAAUUAGAAUAAAAUAAAUAAUUUAAUAACUUAUAGUACCACUCUCUCUCUCCAUCUUGUAGUUGAUGUUUCAGAAUUUGUUCAAGGGAAGGUGCUCAUUGAAGUCGUUGCCAUUAGUUACGAGGAGCCACGCCCACAUGAAAGGGACAAGGGAGAUGAUGUUAGCAGGUGUUGCGUUGAAGCUAAAAUAAAAAUAAAAUUUUCUGUUAAUAGUGUCAGUGCCUAUAUUGAUUGCUCUUUUAGUCGAAAAUUACAGGUCAAUCAGUAUUCAGGAGGUUGACUUGACCUUUGUGUGUUCCCGUGACCUUUUGACCUCUUAAACUGAAGCGACCCAUAGGAUUGACCACACCCUCUUGGACUUUUUUGCAUUCCAACAAAACCACAGGCUAGGCAGCGUAAGUGAAACAGACCAGAACAGUUCAAUAUUAGUGAUGCAAUUGGCCAAUCAAUAGAUGAUCUUGUACGCAAAGAUUUGUUUUGAUACUGUUGUCGCAAACGACAGG
RNAcentral lists this long non-coding RNA (1170 nucleotides) under Amphimedon queenslandica. RNAcentral's name for it is "uncharacterized LOC109584454, transcript variant X2". The record is from RNAcentral. Lineage: Eukaryota; Metazoa; Porifera; Demospongiae; Haplosclerida; Niphatidae.